CCUAAAGUCUAAAGGGGAGACCUGUGGUAGAAGCUCUCUCAGUUGAGAAGCACAACCCUAAGUAUAUGGUUUCCUCCUUCCCUAGUAAGGCUCUUGAUGCUGUGUCCUUGAAGAGAACGUCCCUCCUGAGCAAAUCCAUGUCUGUCUUCCAGCUUGGAAAAUCAGACAGUGAUGAAAACCUCAUUGUUGACGGUCCAUUCUUAUGGCUAUUUUGGAGAGUUUGCCCUUGUCUUGAAACAUUUCUAAAGUUGUCUUUUGACAUUUUCCCUCUUAUCUCUUAUAAUAACUGUGGCCAUUGUCUCUCUUUGCUGAAAGAGCACUUUUCUCCAGAUAUAAAGUUCCCCCUGAACAUUAGAUUUCUCUUUCUGACUUCGGUUGUUAUUAGCCCUGCAACAGUAGCAAAAUUAGGCCCAGACAUGAACCAGGCCUGCAAUCUAACAAAAUGCUAAGUAGUCUCAUGUGCACAUUUAACUUUCCCACUAUGUGCUGGACCAAAGAUCUGUCUUUACAUGCAGUUCUCAUGUGCAGGCAGCUGGCAUUUUGGGAAUGAGUGUGAUACGUAUGAAAGACGGAGGUCCGCAGCAUGAGGAAGAAGGAAACUCUUUAUGGCAUCUCCUUGGCAAAUUUGAAUUUCCAGAAUCACCACUUUUAUCCGAAGGAUUCAGUCAAGGCUCGAAGCCCUGGAGCUCACUGUAGAGUCCCUCUCGAGUCUGCGUAAGGAGGCUGAAGGUUCUGCAAUGGAAGCUGAAGAAUCCUCACUGGAAGCCAGGAGAUGAUGUCCACAGCGAAGGUGAAGACUGGAGCUCCUCCAAAAAAAACAGAGGCAAGUCUUCUUUCUUCAUUUCCUUUUUAUUCCAUUCAGGCCACAACCUAUUGGUUACUACCGCUCACACUCAGAGUCUUCUGUCUUCAGUAAAUCCCCUCAGCCACACCCAGAACUACGCCAAUCCAAUUUAGUUGGGCGUUUCUUACUCAAAUUGACACAGUUAACUCUCACAUGCUGUAAUGUAUUUUGUACAUAAAAAGACAAUAUGUAAUAACAGCAAAACAAACCAAAACC
Heterocephalus glaber (naked mole-rat) is the source of this 1060-nucleotide long non-coding RNA. The record is from Ensembl. NCBI's taxonomy places the organism in Eukaryota, Metazoa, Chordata, Mammalia, Rodentia, Bathyergidae.